GUUAAGGUGGCAGAGCCCGGCAAUGCAAAAGACCUAAGUCCUUUACCACAGAGGUUCAAAUCCUCUCCUCAACU
Molecule: transfer RNA, 74 nt
Filed under: Mastacembelus armatus (zig-zag eel)
Lineage: Eukaryota; Metazoa; Chordata; Actinopteri; Synbranchiformes; Mastacembelidae
Description: tRNA-Leu
Rfam family: tRNA
About the family: Transfer RNA (tRNA) molecules are approximately 80 nucleotides in length. Their secondary structure includes four short double-helical elements and three loops (D, anti-codon, and T loops). Further hydrogen bonds mediate the characteristic L-shaped molecular structure. tRNAs have two regions of fundamental functional importance: the anti-codon, which is responsible for specific mRNA codon recognition, and the 3' end, to which the tRNAs corresponding amino acid is attached (by aminoacyl-tRNA synthetases). tRNAs cope with the degeneracy of the genetic code in two manners: having more than one tRNA (with a specific anti-codon) for a particular amino acid; and 'wobble' base-pairing, i.e. permitting non-standard base-pairing at the 3rd anti-codon position.
Source: RNAcentral